GGGGAAAAUAUCCAGGACUCAUAUGGUUCAUAGAUCUAUUAUAUUUUUUAACAUUGUAUGUCUAUGUGCUCUGGCAUACGUGUCACAGAACAACUCUGUGAUGUGUGUCCGCUUCUUUACACCUCCGCACAGGUUGCCCAGCAAGAACCUAUUCCACUGACUAUUUACUUUUACUUUUUAAAUCAGGAUAUGUGUUAGACAUCUAUUUCCAAACAAAAGUAUACUUAGAUUUUUAAAAAAACAACCUUCACACUGAUUUAAGAUAAACAAGAGGCCCUGGUCCCAAGAAUCGUGCAGUUCCAAAGCAUACUAUUACAGAAGCCAGAGAUAAGCUGCGUGGCUGAGGGGCUUGUGCCCACGGCAAGGUGAGCUACGGGCUUAAAGACAACAUGACUUCAACUGUUUGGGCAGAUGGGAAUGUAACUUGUCAGUUUCCCACAUGGCUGGUAUAAGAAAUGAGAACUCUUGAAGUUUGUCGGGAAGACGGAAGGGUUGGAGGGAUUUCAGCAUCCUCCUGUGUAUCCAAGGCAGCCAACAUCCCUUGUGGUUCUCCCGAAUCCUGGCAGGAGAAUGAAGGACACGGCCAGAUGAAGAAAUCAGGGCUCCUUAUUUUCCUAUAAACACUUUAUACCCAUGUCUCUUUCCAGCAACAGAGCUAAUUGGAAACAGAGUAAUUACACUCUCCAGCCCGAAGUCCCCAUCAAUUCCAGCUACAUAAGGUUCUGGCCCAAGUCAAGCUGUUGUUGAUGACAAAUAACAGCUCUUCAGAAUCUGGGCUUGAAGUGAGCUGUAAACCAACACCCCUAAAGGUGCGCGCGCGCACACACACACACACACACACACACACACACACACACACACACACCCCUCUUGUGACUGCAAGAGCUAGGGGAAAAGAAUAAAUUCGCAUUGCUCUCCAGCGGGAAGAUUCUUCUGAACUGAGAGAAGACUGUGGGCUUCCCUCCUGCUUCUGAACUUGUCCCCAGAGAACCUUCUGAAUGGAUCUACAGCUCUUCGGGUUUCUGUCUGAUGGUUGUCGUUUUAAAAUGCACGUGAUGCUUUCAGACUCCCAAGUCAUGAUACAGUGAAACAACUCAAUUCCAUUUGAGAGCAAAAGAAUAAAACUCCCUCAAAAGAUGAGGAGGGAUGGCAGGUAGUAUGAGAAUGAAGGAAGACGACAGCCGGAGACGAUUAAAGACAGAGCUGCAGCUUAAAGAACCCAGCAGCACUCUGGGAGACAAUUCCCACACACCUAACUUCUUCAAUUCCAGAAGUGCCAACUGAGACCCGGGGGCCCAUUCUGACCUUGAUUGUCACUGGGGGUGGGGUGGGAGGGUAGGUUCUGGAGUUGCUAUGGCAACCUUUCUUCCUAGCCUUUGCCUCUAAUUUUCUGCAAUUCAACUUUUGUGAGUUGCUUAUCUCUCCUCUUUAUCAAGCUAGGAGCCCCUAUUCAAUUAUUUUUUUUAAACCUGAGUUAAUGUCCCAGCUGUAUUGUUGGGGAUUCUAUACACAUCAGUGGAAUAAAAUCACUUCCUGCCAUAAACCACUGGCUCAUGGCACUGGGCUUUAUUAAACAGCUACAACCCACAGCUCGUUUUAACUAGCAAAGGAGGCCCCUGUCAUCACAGCAGCAGUAGGGAUGCCUUCACAGACUUAUCUUACCACACUGGAUCUCAGGCUCCAGUCUCUACAUUUGUGGACAGUAAGCACCUAUGCCCCACUAGUCUAGGAAUGUUCCAGAACGUAACAUCUAGAACCCAGCACUACUGCACUCUGCUUCUCUCUAAGCUUGCUUUCAGACUUCUGACUUUGGUAGCUGCCAAAGCUCAGGUUUCAGCUUCCUGCCGGGGUGGAAAUAGUUCCAGAGCAGUCUCACUGAUGAUCUGAUCUACACAGACCGCUUGAUUGGAGUGGCUGUCUCCCACUCUCAGGCAGAAAAAGGAACAGACUAAAGGAAUGCAGCUCUUGGACCAUCAGAAGGAGAAACAGCUCAUCAUGUUUUACACACCUGGAGCCAUGAUGACUAAGAAGGACUAGAAUAUCCCACCAUCUCCAGCCACUUUGCAGUCAAGAUUGCAUCUGUUCUGCUGCCCGUACAGCUGCAAUGAGUCAGGACCAUGAUCAUCAAGUAACCAUGAAGAAAUCUAAGUCUAAAACCACGGGUGGCUGAAGCAGGGGCAAAAGAAAGUCUUUCUGAUCCAUGUAGGUGUGAAGAAAUAAACAGAGCCACAGGA
Rattus norvegicus (Norway rat) is the source of this 2234-nucleotide non-coding RNA. Lineage: Eukaryota; Metazoa; Chordata; Mammalia; Rodentia; Muridae. The record is from RefSeq and is a predicted model, not a curated record.